AGAUGAUGUGGAAGGAAAGUGGAAGUUCCCAGUUCAAAAAGAAUCCUAGGGCAGAUCACAUUCCUCAAAAGAAUUAAGUUAAUAUCUAAUCGACUUCCUAAUUUCUAUAUGUGUUUCUCAAGGUCUUCUCAACACACAACUUCACAUUCAUAGGGUGAGAUGGUAUGACACUCGAGCGUAUUUGAGACAUAAUUCCAUUAACCUCUUGCUGGGCUCACCUGCCUUCAACCAGUGAGGAACAUCAAGAGAUCAGAGAUUAGCUGAACUCAGCUUUAACCCUUCAAAGAAACUGUGUAGCUCCAGGAAGAAAAGUUAUUUAAAUGAUACUCCCAAAGAAAAGGCAGAGGAAAGGUGCUCCUGUGUAAUUUUUCCUAGUAAGUCCAAGGCCUGCGGUAAAGUGGGUCAUUGAAGAGAAUUAUUAAAUCAACAAAGUUUGCUCCUUUAUGUGAAUCCCUAGGAAGGAGCGUCAAAGAGGAUAAAGAGGGAAUUUUUUUCAGAGACAAUUUCCUAUGGAAGCAGAGUACUUAAUAUUUCAUGUAAAAACAUCAUCAACGUAUGAAUAUGUUAAAGGUAAAGAAGAUUAUGGUUAACAGACUUUAAACAGAAGACCAAAAUUACAGAUUUCAAAUUGGAAACAGACUCGUGGUCGUGUUCCUGAGAGGCCCCUGGAACUCUCAGUAGCCCUCUUCUACCCAGUACAGCGAAAUCGGGACUUUAAAACAGAAGGACCCGAGAUUUCGCGCGGCGGGCAAAACAUCUCAUCCUUGAUCGGGACGCGCCAGCCUUACCCUGACAGCUCCUCGGGUAUCCUUCCCGCCCCAACUCAGGUCGAUCUUUUUCCAAGGUGGUUUGAAAUACUCCAAUAAAAAACAAUUCCCACCACCUUGAGUGCAAAAGGGGGCGUGGGCAUUAGAAGCCUAGUCC
Bos taurus (domestic cattle) is the source of this 924-nucleotide long non-coding RNA. Lineage: Eukaryota; Metazoa; Chordata; Mammalia; Artiodactyla; Bovidae. The record is from Ensembl.